AGCGUUGUCCGGAAUUAUUGGGCGUAAAGAGCUCGUAGGCGGUUUGUCGCGUCUGCUGUGAAAACGCGAGGCUCAACCUCGCGCCUGCAGUGGGUACGGGCAAACUAGAGUGCGGUAGGGGAGAUUGGAAUUCCUGGUGUAGCGGUGGAAUGCGCAGAUAUCAGGAGGAACACCGAUGGCGAAGGCAGAUCUCUGGGCCGUAACUGACGCUGAGGAGCGAAAGCAUGGGGAGCGAACAGGAUUAGAUACCCUGGUAGUCCAUGCCGUAAACGUUGGGAACUAGAUGUAGGGACCAUUCCACGGUUUCUGUGUCGCAGCUAACGCAUUAAGUUCCCCGCCUGGGGAGUACGGUCGCAAGACUAAAACUCAAAGGAAUUGACGGGGGCCCGCACAAGCGGCGGAGCAUGCGGAUUAAUUCGAUGCAACGCGAAGAACCUUACCAAGGCUUGACAUAUAGAGGAAACGUGCAGAAAUGUACGCCCCGCAAGGUCUCUAUACAGGUGGUGCAUGGUUGUCGUCAGCUCGUGUCGUGAGAUGUUGGGUUAAGUCCCGCAACGAGCGCAACCCUCGUCCUAUGUUGCCAGCACGUAAUGGUGGGAACUCAUGGGAGACUGCCGGGGUCAACUCGGAGGAAGGUGGGGAUGACGUCAAAUCAUCAUGCCCCUUAUGUCUUGGGCUUCACGCAUGCUACAAUGGCCGGUACAAAGGGCUGCAAUACCGCAAGGUGGAGCGAAUCCCAAAAAGCCGGUCUCAGUUCGGAUUGGGGUCUGCAACUCGACCCCAUGAAGUUGGAGUCGCUAGUAAUCGUGAAUCAGCAACGUCACG
RNAcentral lists this ribosomal RNA (825 nucleotides) under Microcella putealis. Its description in RNAcentral is "bacterial SSU rRNA". It matches the Rfam family "Bacterial small subunit ribosomal RNA", at positions 537 to 1361 of the family's 1533-position model. The record is from RNAcentral. Lineage: Bacteria; Bacillati; Actinomycetota; Actinomycetes; Micrococcales; Microbacteriaceae.